GAUGAACGCUGGCGGCGUGCCUAACACAUGCAAGUCGAGCGAACAGACGGUGAGCUUGUUCCCUUGCCGUUAGCGGCUGACGGGCGAGUAACACGUGGAUCACCUACUUCUAUUUCUGGGAUAAUAACGGGAAACCGGUUACAAUAAUAGCGCAUAUAUUCUACCGCAGGGUUCAAUAGAGAAUGACAGCUUUCGCGUCUCUAUUAGCUGAUUUCGCGCCGCAUUAGCUAGUUGGUAAGGUAACGGCUUACCAAGGCGACGAUGCGUAGCCGACCUGAGAGGAUGAUCGGCCACACUGGAACUGAGACACGGUCCAGACUCCUACGGGAGGCAGCAGUAGGGAAUAUUGGGCAAUGGGCGAAAGCCUGACGCAGCCACACCGCGUGAGUGAAGAAGGUCUUCGGGUCGUAAAGCUCUUUUGUUGGGAAAGAAAAGCUGUAUAGGUAACUCUGCCCGUCUUGACGGUACCUAAUCAAUAAGCACCGGCUAACUUCGUG
RNAcentral lists this ribosomal RNA (497 nucleotides) under uncultured bacterium. Its description in RNAcentral is "partial 16S ribosomal RNA". It matches the Rfam family "Bacterial small subunit ribosomal RNA", at positions 28 to 507 of the family's 1533-position model. The record is from RNAcentral.